AGGAUGCAUGUGUGCAUGAGGUGAGGGUGUGGAGGGGGCUCUGACAGCUGGGAAAUCUCAGAGGAAGAACCCUGCCACAUUCUCAAACCAGGGAAUAGCCCAGAGGUUGGCCAUAAAACAACACCUUCCAGGGACUCACGCACUUCAGAGGAGGCAGGUGGAUUAAAGAGAGCUUCAGCUCGCACAUAAAAUGGAUCAGAAGCGUUUAAGAUGAGGAAAGUGAAGCAAACAGGGUUAAGUGACUUGUCGAGAGGAACAAAGCUAGUAAGAGUCUGAGGCUGGAUUUAAACUCACAAAGAGGAGUCUUCCUGCUUGCAGGCCUGGUGUUCUAUCCACUGUGCCACCCGGCUGCCCUUUUGUCUUCUGCUGAAUAAACAUUUUAUGACUAUUCCUGA
Long non-coding RNA from Dromiciops gliroides (monito del monte), 395 nucleotides. RefSeq lists it as uncharacterized. The transcript is spliced from 2 exons. The record is from RefSeq and is a predicted model, not a curated record. Lineage: Eukaryota; Metazoa; Chordata; Mammalia; Microbiotheria; Microbiotheriidae.